RNAcentral lists this ribosomal RNA (512 nucleotides) under Zeugodacus tau. RNAcentral describes it as "partial 16S ribosomal RNA". It matches the Rfam family "Bacterial large subunit ribosomal RNA", at positions 1829 to 2597 of the family's 2925-position model. Lineage: Eukaryota; Metazoa; Arthropoda; Insecta; Diptera; Tephritidae. The record is from RNAcentral.
GUCUUUUUGAGUUAUUUUUAAAGUCUGACCUGCCCACUGAAAUUUUUAAAUGGCCGCAGUAUCCUAACUGUGCAAAGGUAGCAUAAUCAUUAGUCUUUUAAUUGAAGGCUGGUAUGAACGGUUGGACGAGGUAUAAGCUGUUUCAUAUAAAUUUAUAAUAGAAUUUUAUAUUUUAGUCAAAAAGCUAAAAUAUUAUUAAAAGACGAGAAGACCCUAUAAAUCUUUAUAUUUUUUUUUAUUUAAAUUUUUUGGAUUUAUUUUAUUUUUAUAAUAGAAAAUAUUUUGUUGGGGUGAUGUUAAAAUUUAAUGAACUUUUAAUUAUAAAAAAUCAUUAAUUUAUGAGUUAUUGAUCCAUUAGUAGUGAUUAUAAGAUUAAGUUACUUUAGGGAUAACAGCGUAAUUUUUUUGGAGAGUUCAUAUCGAUAAAAAAGUUUGCGACCUCGAUGUUGGAUUAAGAUAUAAUUUUAGGUGUAGCCGCUUAAAUGUUAAGUCUGUUCGACUUUUAAAUUCUU